This 76-nucleotide transfer RNA is filed under the name Candidatus Nomurabacteria bacterium. Its description in RNAcentral is "tRNA-Ala". It matches the Rfam family "tRNA". From Rfam's summary of the family: Transfer RNA (tRNA) molecules are approximately 80 nucleotides in length. Their secondary structure includes four short double-helical elements and three loops (D, anti-codon, and T loops). Lineage: Bacteria; Candidatus Nomuraibacteriota. The record is from RNAcentral.
GGGGUAUUAGCUCAGCUGGUAGAGCGCUUGGUUCGCAAUCAAGAGGUCGCGAGUUCGAUUCUCGCAUACUCCACCA